Molecule: unclassified non-coding RNA, 218 nt
Filed under: rhizosphere metagenome
Description: partial ribosomal RNA internal transcribed spacer region
Source: RNAcentral
GUAGGUGAACCUGCGGAAGGAUCAUUAAAGAACGCCCCGUUUUUUGAAAUGGGUAAUUCCCAAACCGUGUACACAUACCUUUGUUGCUUUGGCAGGCCGCCCCUCGGGGCGUUGGCUCCGGCUGACUGCGCCUGCCAGAGGACCCAAACUCGUUUGUUUAGUGAUGUCUGAGUACUAUAUAAUAGUUAAAACUUUCAACAACGGAUCUCUUGGUUCUG